This 253-nucleotide ribosomal RNA is filed under the name uncultured bacterium. RNAcentral describes it as "partial 16S ribosomal RNA". It matches the Rfam family "Bacterial small subunit ribosomal RNA", at positions 524 to 776 of the family's 1533-position model. The record is from RNAcentral.
CACGUAGGGCGCGAGCGUUGUCCGGAAUUAUUGGGCGUAAAGAGCUCGUAGGCGGCCUGUUGCGUCCGCUGUGAAAGCCCGGGGCUUAACCCCGGGUCGGCAGUGGAUACGGGCAGGCUAGAGGUAGGUAGGGGAGAAUGGAAUUCCCGGUGUAGCGGUGAAAUGCGCAGAUAUCGGGAGGAACACCGGUGGCGAAGGCGGCUCUCUGGGACGGUACUGACGCUGAGACGCGAAAGCGUGGGGAGCGAACAGG